Molecule: long non-coding RNA, 2037 nt
Organism: Canis lupus familiaris (dog)
Lineage: Eukaryota; Metazoa; Chordata; Mammalia; Carnivora; Canidae
Exons: 4
Source: RefSeq, a predicted model, not a curated record
GAGCGCUAGAGGUGCAGCGUGGGCAUGCAGACCAAGGCCUUUGGUGGGCCCGUCCUAAAACCAGACCAGCUCCUUCCCCCCUUGGAGAAGGCGGGGGAGCGGCCGGGGUUCGUCCAGUGGGGAAUCCUUUGCAGACCCCACUGCAGUCCGGGGGCGAGGGGCCCCCUGGCCCUACAAUGCCCCGCUCCAGAGCUCUGCCUUCAAAAGGUGGAGGCCGAGGGGGAAGUGGGGUUUCUUCUCCACGGGACCCUGCCUGCCAGCGGCCCCUUUUGCAGGGUCCACAGGGGACAGAGGAACCCCGGGAAUGAAGAGUGGGGCCCCUUUCACCGAGGGAGAGGGGAGUAGCUAAUAACCCACAAAUGACUCACAAAUAACAGGAAAGCUGUUUGCAAACAUGUAAAUGCCUCGCCGCCUCCCCCACUCCUCGCUUAGAGAGAGCGAUGAGCAAGCGAUGGAGCUGCAGCCGCUGCCGGCCUGCCCUGGCCCUGAGCGGAGGUUCUGGAAGGCCCGGGAGCCACCAGCCGCAGGGGAAGAACUCUGCACUCACACAGCGUCGCAGCCUCAGCCUGAGGGUCUUGAGCUUCUCUCCCAGGGAGUUCACGUGGUUCUUGAUGUCUGGGUCGUGGUUCUCAGCCCGGGGCAUCACCUCCUCCAAGUAAAACUGGAUCAUCUCCGACAGGGCUUGGCAACCCAGCAAAGGAAGCGGACCCAGCUCCCAGCGGCCUCCCUGCUCUGAGUCACGCUGCUGCCUCCCCUCCCGCACACCCAGCCGGGCUCUCACCUUAAAGUCCUCCAGCAGGGACCCGGUCAGCAGUAUGUUGUCCAGCUUGUCCUUCAUUUGCUGCAAGAAGAACAAAAGGAGAAUGAGCCGGAGGACGGAGGAAAUGUCUUUUCCGAUGCCCUCUUAUUUAUAGAGCUUCUGAUGUUUCAUCAGCGCAGCCUGGCCCCAAAAAAUGGAAAGGAGAUUUUCAACACAGGACAUUCAAUAGCGCUGGAACCCUUAGUUCAAUCGGGUCAUUUCCCCGAGGAUCCAGUUGUUUUUUUAAAAAAGGCUGCCGGGCGUUGGAACCACGAGAAGCUUGCCUGGGUGCCGGUGUCCUCUCUGCAGAGCCCGAUCAGAUGCACAAACCGAGGACCAAAGAAGAGACUUUCCUAGGGACAAGAAAUAGUAAUGGCAAAGGUGGAAUCUGAUGUCAAUUCUCUUCUGGUUGUUCUUCUCCAAUCAGCACCUAAUUCCUUGACUCAGAUGAGCAUUAAUAACUCUCAACUCUCAGGGCCAGCACCAACGACUAGAGGGCGCUAAGACGUGAGCCCUGUGUGGAGUUGCAAUGGUGAGAAGUCAAAAGUCAUGGAAAUGAGUUUCCAUUUACAAAGCUAUCGUGAAUCUAUUACGUGCCUGUGAGAUGUUGCCCAAAGCUGGUCAACUGCGCAGCGAGAGAGCCGAACCCUCCUUAGACGGCCAACAAGCACAGGAAGAUUCGGGGAGCAUCAUCAUCAGGGAAACGCAAAUCAAACCCACCCCGAGCUAGCACCUCACACCGGUCAGCACGGCUAGUACUGAAAAGACAAGAAAUAACCAGGGUUGGCGAGGCCGGGGAGAGAAAGGACCCUCCGUGCGCUGCUGCUGGGAAUGCAAAACGGGUGCCGCCACGAUAGAAGGCAGUGUGGAAGUUCCUCAAAAAACUAAAAAUAGGACUAGCAUAUGAUCCAGCGAUCCUGUUUCUGGGUAUUUAUCUGAAGAAAACAGAACUAACUUGAAAAGAUCUGUGCACCCCAUGUUCAGUGCAGCAUUAUUUGCAAGAGCCAAGAUACAGAAACUACCCAAGUGUCCAGUGUCCGUUGAACGGAUAAAGAAAAGGUGCUAUAUAUGUAUUAUUCAGGCCUUAAAAAAAUGAAAUCUCGCCAUUUGUGACGACAUGGGUGGACUCUCGGGACAUUAUGCUAAGUGCAAUAAGUCAGACAGAAAGCCAAUACCAAAAAAAAGAAAAAGAAAAAGGAAAAAGAAAGAGAAAAAGAAAAGAAAGCCAAUACCUUACA